This 349-nucleotide ribosomal RNA is filed under the name uncultured bacterium. RNAcentral's name for it is "partial 16S ribosomal RNA". It matches the Rfam family "Bacterial small subunit ribosomal RNA", at positions 338 to 698 of the family's 1533-position model. The record is from RNAcentral.
CCUACGGGUGGCAGCAGUCGAGAAUCAUUCACAAUGGGGGAAAGCCUGAUGGCGCGACGCCGCGUGGGGGAAUGAAGGUCUGCGGAUUGUAAACCCCUGUCAUGUAGGAGCAAAUUAAAAAGAUAGUACCACAAGCGGAAGAGACGGCUAACUCUGUGCCAGCAGCCGCGGUAAUACGGAGGUCUCAAGCGUUGUUCGGAAUCACUGGGCGUAAAGCGUGCGUAGGCUGUUUCGUAAGUCGUGUGUGAAAGGCGCGGGCUCAACCCGCGGACGGCACUUGAUACUGGGAGACUAGAGUAAAGGAGGGGGAAGCGGAAUUCUCGGUGUAGCAGUGAAAUGCGUAGAUAUC